This 482-nucleotide ribosomal RNA is filed under the name Alternaria sp. CID417. RNAcentral's name for it is "eukaryotic LSU rRNA". The stretch from base 108 to 261 matches the Rfam family "5.8S ribosomal RNA". The record is from RNAcentral. Lineage: Eukaryota; Fungi; Ascomycota; Dothideomycetes; Pleosporales; Pleosporaceae.
GUGUCUUUUGCGUACUUCUUGUUUCCUGGGUGGGCUCGCCCGCCCUCAGGACCAACCACAAACCUUUUGCAAUAGCAAUCAGCGUCAGUAACAACGUAAUUAAUUACAACUUUCAACAACGGAUCUCUUGGUUCUGGCAUCGAUGAAGAACGCAGCGAAAUGCGAUACGUAGUGUGAAUUGCAGAAUUCAGUGAAUCAUCGAAUCUUUGAACGCACAUUGCGCCCUUUGGUAUUCCAAAGGGCAUGCCUGUUCGAGCGUCAUUUGUACCCUCAAGCUUUGCUUGGUGUUGGGCGUCUUUUGUCUCCAGUUCGCUGGAGACUCGCCUUAAAGUCAUUGGCAGCCGGCCUACUGGUUUCGGAGCGCAGCACAAGUCGCGCUCUUUGCCAGCCAAGGUCAGCGUCCAGCAAGCCUUUUUUUCAACCUUUGACCUCGGAUCAGGUAGGGAUACCCGCUGAACUUAAGCAUAUCAAUAAGCGGAGGA